This 1582-nucleotide long non-coding RNA is filed under the name Rosa chinensis. RNAcentral describes it as "sRNA RchiOBHm_Chr5g0048111". The record is from RNAcentral. Lineage: Eukaryota; Viridiplantae; Streptophyta; Magnoliopsida; Rosales; Rosaceae.
UUUUAGUUUCGCCUCUGCGUUCUUGGGUGAUCCGCUUAAUUAUGAUACUAUGUUUGGCUCUUUGGGUGAUUGACGCGAGCAUUCUCUCUCUGUUUCUCUCUUCGUUGUAGGCUGUCGUCUGCGCAUCUGGAGAUUCUUGGGUGUGUGGCUGAUUUGGGUGAAGAGAAGGAGGGUGAUUUUGGAGGAAACGGGAGAGGAGUUUCUACAUGAGUGAAGGGAAGGAGAGGGAUGAUGAGGUAUUAGGGUGAUUAGCGUGAUCUUCUAUGUUUCUUUCUGUGUUCAUUCUUGGGUGGUCUUUUCGGAUCUACAGAUUCUUCCGUGUGUGAUUGAUUUGGGGUAGGAGAGGCAGUGUGUUUGUGGACGAAAUGAAAGAAGAAUUGACAGUGAAAGAUUAACGGGCUGGAUCAUAUCUUUUUGGGGAUAGAGAUAUUCUUUGGAGGCUCUACAAAGAAUACGCCUUUAGGAGAGGAAUCCUUCUUGCUUGAAAGAAGGAGAAGGAAGAAGAGAGAAGCUUUUGUUUGCUUGAAAGAAAAGAAGUGGAAGGGAUUUGAACAAACAAAAACGAGAAGUGGUGGUAUUGCUCUGUUCUCUGAUUUUUGGAUUGUUGUUCUUUGCUUCCUUGAUGCAGUUGCCUUUCUCUUGAGGGUCUGUUAGCAGAAUAUCAGAAGAGAUCAGAAACGAGAACUUCUCCCUCUUGCCACCUAUCCUAUCUUUCAAGAUCAGGCUUGAAGUUUUAAAGUAGCUCAACUUCCCAGGUGUCCGCUUCCAGGUUGCAUAUAGCUUGCUGCACCAGAACCUUAGAAGCAAGAUUAGCAUACAGAGAGCUUGAACAACAACUUCAAUUUCAGAUAUUACUUUGUAAGUUUGAUGGAUGAAUUUGAAUUGAAGAUCCAAACAGUGAAGCCACAGUCAAGCUUAAAGGAAAACCAGCUGAACAGUUGUUUGGAAUAACUUGCAGAGAACUCAUAGACAAGUACCCUUAUGCUCCACAGGAAACAUUGCCACAAGAAAUAUUGCAAACAAAAAGGCAAAUUCACAUUUUCCAAAUCCAAAUCAGUGAGGCAAAUGACUUCAUAGUGAAAGGUGUCUUUCCAAGCACAAAGAAUCAACCAAGUGCCAGCACACCAGCUCAUCCACUUUAUGACAAAAAAAGAUCCGUCGAUAAAGGAAGAAGACAACUAUUUGCUGCCAAUCCAGACAAAAAGCUCCGCAGGGAAGGAAGUACUGAAUCAGCAACAUCAUCCACAAACACUAUGAACAAGGAAAAAAUGGAGUGAACUAUCAUGUCACUUUUUGUGUAAAUAGAAAUGGAGGCAACAACUUUUUGGACAACCUCCACAGCUAAUCAUCACUAGGCUAACAAGCUCUCAGUAACUGAUGUCACUUUUGAUAUAGUCACUAGGUUAGCCUAUAAGUAGAUCACUGUAUUUUGGAGAAGCUGUUUUAACAGCAUUUGUAAUAUAUAUUUCAACAUUACCAAAACACCUAUAUUAAUGGUAAUGUUAGCUCCUGAUAUGAAGCAUGAAUCAAUGUAUUUUUGAGAAGCUGUUUUAUAUAUAUGUGAACUAAAUUCUCUGUCUUU